Molecule: long non-coding RNA, 496 nt
Organism: Camelus dromedarius (Arabian camel)
Lineage: Eukaryota; Metazoa; Chordata; Mammalia; Artiodactyla; Camelidae
Exons: 5
Source: RefSeq, a predicted model, not a curated record
AGAAGUGAUCACCACCUGGAACAGGUAGGGGCUGGAGCAGGGACUGGACGGGUGAGUUCAAGUUGUACAUACCUGCAAAACUACCACUGCAGUCAGGACACAGAACAUUUCCAUCAUCUCCAAGACAUUCCUCCUGACCUUCUGCAGUCCCACUUCUGUCCGUGUUGCCAGGCAAUCACUGCUCUGCUCUCUAUAAGAAUUUCCUGGGUGAAGCCUGAAAAUACAUGGAGGACAAGGAGAGACUGAAGAGAGAGGCAGCUCACUCCAGACUGGGCGAGUUUCAGGCAUCCAGACCUGCACUGCCAAAAAGUAGUCACUGCUCAAGUGGAGCUAGUCUGAGCUGAGUCACAGAGAGGCUAAGAAGUCAAUGGAAAACCGCUUCUGGAGAGAUGGAGAGAGCAGAUACCAAAUAAAUGUAUGUUAGAUGAAUAAAUACGUUAUGGAUCUAAGGAAGACACACACAGGUAAAAAAAAGAAUUCAUGCUUUUUUCGGUUG